RNAcentral lists this ribosomal RNA (488 nucleotides) under uncultured bacterium. Its description in RNAcentral is "partial 16S ribosomal RNA". It matches the Rfam family "Bacterial small subunit ribosomal RNA", at positions 28 to 507 of the family's 1533-position model. The record is from RNAcentral.
GACGAACGCUGGCGGCGUGCCUAACACAUGCAAGUCGAACGGAAAGGCCCUGCUUUUGUGGGGUGCUCGAGUGGCGAACGGGUGAGUAACACGUGAGUAACCUGCCCUUGACUUUGGGAUAACUUCAGGAAACUGGGGCUAAUACCGGAUAGGAGCUCCUGCUGCAUGGUGGGGGUUGGAAAGUUUCGGCGGUUGGGGAUGGACUCGCGGCUUAUCAGCUUGUUGGUGGGGUAGUGGCUUACCAAGGCGUUGACGGGUAGCCGGCCUGAGAGGGUGACCGGGCACACUGGAAGUGGGACAGGGUCAAGAGUGCGACGGGAGGCAGCAGUGGGGAAUAUGGGACAAUGGGGGGAAGCCUGAUACAGCCAGACCGCGGGGGUGAAGAAGGCCUUGGGGUUGUAAAGGGGUGUAGGUGGGAAGGAAAAGCAGCAGGUUAAGACCCAGAGGUUGUGACGGUAAAAAAAGAAUAAGCAACGGCGAACUUCGUG